RNAcentral lists this transfer RNA (76 nucleotides) under Betaproteobacteria bacterium TMED100. RNAcentral's name for it is "tRNA-Arg". It matches the Rfam family "tRNA". Rfam says of the family: Transfer RNA (tRNA) molecules are approximately 80 nucleotides in length. Their secondary structure includes four short double-helical elements and three loops (D, anti-codon, and T loops). The record is from RNAcentral. Lineage: Bacteria; Pseudomonadati; Pseudomonadota; Betaproteobacteria.
GCGUCUGUAGCUCAGUGGAUAGAGCACUGGCCUCCGAAGCCAGUGGUCGCAGGUUCGAUUCCUGCCAGACGCGCCA